This 725-nucleotide ribosomal RNA is filed under the name uncultured bacterium. RNAcentral describes it as "bacterial SSU rRNA". It matches the Rfam family "Bacterial small subunit ribosomal RNA", at positions 773 to 1498 of the family's 1533-position model. The record is from RNAcentral.
CAGGAUUAGAUACCCUGGUAGUCCACGCCGUAAACGAUGUCUACUUGGAGGUUGUUCCCUUGAGGAGUGGCUUUCGGAGCUAACGCGUUAAGUAGACCGCCUGGGGAGUACGGUCGCAAGAUUAAAACUCAAAUGAAUUGACGGGGGCCCGCACAAGCGGUGGAGCAUGUGGUUUAAUUCGAUGCAACGCGAAGAACCUUACCUACUCUUGACAUCCAGAGAAGCCUGCGGAGACGCGGGUGUGCCUUCGGGAGCUCUGAGACAGGUGCUGCAUGGCUGUCGUCAGCUCGUGUUGUGAAAUGUUGGGUUAAGUCCCGCAACGAGCGCAACCCUUAUCCUUAAUUGCCAGCACUUCGGGUGGGAACUUUGGGGAGACUGCCGGUGAUAAACCGGAGGAAGGUGGGGACGACGUCAAGUCAUCAUGGCCCUUACGAGUAGGGCUACACACGUGCUACAAUGGCGCAUACAGAGGGCGGCCAACUUGCAAAAGUGAGCGAAUCCCAAAAAGUGCGUCGUAGUCCGGAUUGGAGUCUGCAACUCGACUCCAUGAAGUCGGAAUCGCUAGUAACCGUAGAUCAGAAUGCUACGGUGAAUACGUUCCCGGGCCUUGUACACACCGCCCGUCACACCAUGGGAGUGGGCUGCAAAAGAAGUAGGUAGUUUAACCUUCGGGGGGACGCUUACCACUUUGUGGUUCAUGACUGGGGUGAAGUCGUAACAAGGUA